Molecule: ribosomal RNA, 273 nt
Filed under: uncultured bacterium
Lineage: Bacteria
Description: partial 16S ribosomal RNA
Rfam family: Bacterial small subunit ribosomal RNA
Source: RNAcentral
GACGAGGGAUCCUAGCGUUGUUCGGAAUUAUUGGGCGUAAAGCGGGUGUAGGUGGAAUUAUAAGUCAGUGGUGAAAGCCUCGAGCUCAACUCGUGAAUUGCCAUUGAUACUGUUUUUCUUGAGUACGAUUGAGGUGAGUAGAAUAUGUCAUGUAGUGGUGAAAUACUUAGAUAUGACAUAGAAUACCGAUUGCGAAGGCAGCUCACUAAAUCGUAACUGACGCUGAGGCACGAAAGCGUGGGGAUCAAACAGGAUUAGAUACCCACGUAGUCC